CAGGUAGUAGUGUGAGAGGAGACCCAGCACAUGGGACUGGAGACCACGGCCCAGAUCCUACGGAAGGCAGCAGUGGGGAAUUGACAAUGGGGCAACCCUGAUUCAAGCAAUGCGCGGUGAGUGAAGAAGGCCUUCGGUUGUUAAAGCUCUUUGUCAGGGAAGAAACGGUUCUGAUUAAUACCUGGGACUAAUGACGGUACUGAAGAUAAGCACCGGCUAACUACGUGGCAGCAGCCGCGGUAAUACGUAGGGUGCAAGCGUUAAUCGGAAUUACUGGGCGUAAAGCGUGCGCAGGCGGUUGUGUAAGUCAGAUGUGAAAUCCCCGGGCUCAACCUGGGAAUUGCAUUUGAGACUGCACGGCUAGAGUGUGUCAGAGGGGGGUAGAAUUCCACGUGUAGCAGUGAAAUGCGUAGAUAUGUGGAGGAAUACCGAUGGCGAAGGCAGCCCCCUGGGAUAACACUGACGCUCAUGCACGAAAGCGUGGGGAGCAAACAGGAUUAGAUACCCUGGUAGUCCACGCCCUAAACGAUGUCUACUAGUUGUCGGGUCUUAAUUGACUUGGUAACGCAGCUAACGCGUGAAGUAGACCGCCUGGGGAGUACGGUCGCAAGAUUAAAACUCAAAGGAAUUGACGGGGACCCGCACAAGCGGUGGAUGAUGUGGAUUAAUUCGAUGCAACGCGAAAAACCUUACCUACCCUUGACAUGGAUGGAAUCCCGAAGAGAUUUGGGAGUGCUCGAAAGAGAACCAUCACACAGGUGCUGCAUGGCUGUCGUCAGCUCGUGUCGUGAGAUGUUGGGUUAAGUCCCGCAACGAGCGCAACCCUUGUCAUUAGUUGCUACGAAAGGGCACUCUAAUGAGACUGCCGGUGACAAACCGGAGGAAGGUGGGGAUGACGUCAAGUCCUCAUGGCCCUUAUGGGUAGGGCUUCACACGUCAUACAAUGGUACAUACAGAGGGCCGCCAACCCGCGAGGGGGAGCUAAUCCCAGAAAGUGUAUCGUAGUCCGGAUUGGAGUCUGCAACUCGACUCCAUGAAGUUGGAAUCGCUAGUAAUCGCGGAUCAGCAUGUCGCGGUGAAUACGUUCCCGGGUCUUGUACACACCGCCCGUCACACCAUGGGAGCGGGUUUUACCAGAAGUGGGUAGCCUAACCGCAAGGAGGGCGCUCACCACGGUAGAAUUUCCGGGC
This 1190-nucleotide ribosomal RNA is filed under the name Herbaspirillum sp. Its description in RNAcentral is "bacterial SSU rRNA". It matches the Rfam family "Bacterial small subunit ribosomal RNA", at positions 280 to 1476 of the family's 1533-position model. The record is from RNAcentral. Lineage: Bacteria; Pseudomonadati; Pseudomonadota; Betaproteobacteria; Burkholderiales; Oxalobacteraceae.